GAUGAACGCUGGCGGCGUGCCUAAUACAUGCAAGUCGAGCGAACAGACAAGGAGCUUGCUCCUCUGACGUUAGCGGCGGACGGGUGAGUAACACGUGGAUAACCUACCUAUAAGACUGGGAUAACUUCGGGAAACCGGAGCUAAUACCGGAUAAUAUAUUGAACCGCAUGGUUCAAUAGUGAAAGACGGUUUUGCUGUCACUUAUAGAUGGAUCCGCGCCGCAUUAGCUAGUUGGUAAGGUAACGGCUUACCAAGGCGACGAUGCGUAGCCGACCUGAGAGGGUGAUCGGCCACACUGGAACUGAGACACGGUCCAGACUCCUACGGGAGGCAGCAGUAGGGAAUCUUCCGCAAUGGGCGAAAGCCUGACGGAGCAACGCCGCGUGAGUGAUGAAGGUCUUCGGAUCGUAAAACUCUGUUAUUAGGGAAGAACAAAUAUGUAAGUAACUAUGCACGUCUUGACGGUACCUAAUCAGAAAGCCACGGCUAACUACGUG
Molecule: ribosomal RNA, 497 nt
Filed under: uncultured bacterium
Lineage: Bacteria
Description: partial 16S ribosomal RNA
Rfam family: Bacterial small subunit ribosomal RNA
Source: RNAcentral